RNAcentral lists this ribosomal RNA (445 nucleotides) under uncultured bacterium. RNAcentral describes it as "partial 16S ribosomal RNA". It matches the Rfam family "Bacterial small subunit ribosomal RNA", at positions 354 to 796 of the family's 1533-position model. The record is from RNAcentral.
GUGAGGAAUAUUGCGCAAUGGAGGCAACUCUGACGCAGCCAUGCCGCGUGCAGGAAGAAGGCGCUACGCGUUGUAAACUGCUUUUAACCGGGAAGAAACCCCAGGACGUGUCCUGGGUUGACGGUACCGGAGGAAUAAGCACCGGCUAACUUCGUGCCAGCAGCCGCGGUAAUACGAAGGGUGCAAGCGUUAUCCGGAUUCAUUGGGUUUAAAGGGUGCGUAGGCGGAGCGUUAAGUCAGUGGUGCAAUCCUGCAGCUUAACUGUAGACUUGCCAUUGAUACUGGCGCUCUUGAGUGCGCUUGAAGUGGGCGGAAUGUGCCGUGUAGCGGUGAAAUGCUUAGAUAUGGCACAGAACACCAAUUGCGAAGGCAGCUCACUAAGGCGAUACUGACACUGAGGCACGAAAGCGUGGGGAUCGAACAGGAUUAGAAACCCUAGUAGUCC